UCUGGUGCCCAUAGCGGCGGGGAAACACCCGUUCCCAUUCCGAACACGGAAGUUAAGCCCGCCAGCGCCGAUGGUAGUGGUCUGGCGACGGACCGCGAGAGUAGGUCGGUGCCAGGC
Molecule: ribosomal RNA, 117 nt
Filed under: Pseudomonadota bacterium
Lineage: Bacteria; Pseudomonadati; Pseudomonadota
Also listed under: 2 other names
Source: RNAcentral